RNAcentral lists this ribosomal RNA (253 nucleotides) under uncultured bacterium. Its description in RNAcentral is "partial 16S ribosomal RNA". It matches the Rfam family "Bacterial small subunit ribosomal RNA", at positions 524 to 776 of the family's 1533-position model. The record is from RNAcentral.
UACGUAGGGGGCAAGCGUUAUCCGGAUUUACUGGGUGUAAAGGGAGCGUAGGCGGCGAUGCAAGCCAGAUGUGAAAGCCCGGGGCUCAACCCCGGGACUGCAUUUGGAACUGUGUGGCUGGAGUGUCGGAGAGGCAGGCGGAAUUCCUAGUGUAGCGGUGAAAUGCGUAGAUAUUAGGAGGAACACCAGUGGCGAAGGCGGCCUGCUGGACGAUGACUGACGUUGAGGCUCGAAAGCGUGGGGAGCAAACAGG